AGGCUCCCGCUCUUCCUCGAGCCUCCACGGCGAUCUCCGCCGCCCCUUUCGCCGGCCUACUUCGGCGGCGCUUAAGCUUGCACGCCUCACUCAGAUUGUCGGGGUCACUCUAUUUUUCUGAGCCUCGUCUCUCUCUAGCCGCCACCGGCUGCAGAUCUGGCCGCGCCGCUCCGAUGCUUCCGUUUCUCCCUUGGGAUUCCUGAAGCCAUUGCAUCACCUAUCACUGGUGGUCAUACCAAGUGCCUUGAGUGGAAUAGGGACAGCACUAGGGAGAACUUAGAAGUGAUGCGAACCCGAUUAUGAGACGGUAUGAAAUAGCUUGGGUGCGACGAAGAGUAACUUUCCUUACAUGUUCUCUUGCCACUCUUUAAUUUAUUGAUUCAAAUAUUUGGUUGCUUCUGCAUUUGGCUAUU
Zingiber officinale is the source of this 413-nucleotide long non-coding RNA. RefSeq lists it as uncharacterized. NCBI's taxonomy places the organism in Eukaryota, Viridiplantae, Streptophyta, Magnoliopsida, Zingiberales, Zingiberaceae. The transcript has 2 exons. The record is from RefSeq and is a predicted model, not a curated record.